CAAAUCAGUUACCCGCAGUUACUUCUGGGUCCACUGUCACGUUUGACAUUGAAGCCGUGACUCUAGGAACCACCAGUAAUAAUGAAGGUGGACACUUCAAGCUUCGAUCGCUGUGUCAGCCAGGCUAGAGUGCAGUGACACAAUCAUAGCUCACUACAGCUCCCUCUGUGAGAGUUGUGAGACUUUGGAGGAUAGGACUGAAUGCUUUAAUCAUCUUCGAUUAAAUUAAAUCAUCCCCAGCACC
This 244-nucleotide small RNA is filed under the name Pan troglodytes (chimpanzee). Its description in RNAcentral is "processed transcript". The record is from RNAcentral. Lineage: Eukaryota; Metazoa; Chordata; Mammalia; Primates; Hominidae.